GACGAACGCUGGCGGCGUGCUUAACACAUGCAAGUCGAGCGGUAAGGCCCUUCGGGGUACACGAGCGGCGAACGGGUGAGUAACACGUGGGUGACCUGCCCUCAGCUCUGGGAUAAGCCUGGGAAACCGGGUCUAAUACCGGAUACGACCAUUGGAUGCAUGUCUGGUGGUGGAAAGUUUUUUCGGCUGGGGAUGGGCCCGCGGCCUAUCAGCUUGUUGGUGGGGUGAUGGCCUACCAAGGCGGUGACGGGUAGCCGGCCUGAGAGGGCGACCGGCCACACUGGGACUGAGACACGGCCCAGACUCCUACGGGAGGCAGCAGUGGGGAAUAUUGCGCAAUGGGCGGAAGCCUGACGCAGCGACGCCGCGUGGGGGAUGACGGCCUUCGGGUUGUAAACCUCUUUCGCCAGGGACGAAGCUUUUGUGACGGUACCUGGAGAAGAAGCACCGGCCAACUACGUGCCAGCCGCCGCAGUAAAAC
Molecule: ribosomal RNA, 481 nt
Filed under: uncultured bacterium
Lineage: Bacteria
Description: bacterial SSU rRNA
Rfam family: Bacterial small subunit ribosomal RNA
Source: RNAcentral